UACGGAGGAUGCAAGCGUUAUCCGGAUUCACUGGGUUUAAAGGGUGCGUAGGCGGAUAUGUAAGUCCGUGGUGAAAUCUCUGGGCUUAACCCGGAAACUGCCAUGGAUACUAUGUGUCUUGAAUGUUGUUGAGGUGAGCGGAAUAUGUCAUGUAGCGGUGAAAUGCUUAGAUAUGACAUAGAACACCAAUUGCGAAGGCAGCUCACUAAGCAAAUAUUGACGCUGAGGCACGAAAGCGUGGGGAUCAAACAGG
RNAcentral lists this ribosomal RNA (253 nucleotides) under uncultured bacterium. RNAcentral's name for it is "partial 16S ribosomal RNA". It matches the Rfam family "Bacterial small subunit ribosomal RNA", at positions 524 to 776 of the family's 1533-position model. The record is from RNAcentral.